This 261-nucleotide ribosomal RNA is filed under the name uncultured bacterium. Its description in RNAcentral is "partial 16S ribosomal RNA". It matches the Rfam family "Bacterial small subunit ribosomal RNA", at positions 92 to 354 of the family's 1533-position model. The record is from RNAcentral.
CGACCGGCGCACGGGUGAGUAACACGUAUCCAACCUGCCGAUGACUCGGGGAUAGCCUUUCGAAAGAAAGAUUAAUACCCGAUGGCAUAGUUCUUCCGCAUGGUAGAACUAUUAAAGAAUUUCGGUCAUCGAUGGGGAUGCGUUCCAUUAGCUUGUUGGCGGGGUAACGGCCCACCAAGGCAUCGAUGGAUAGGGGUUCUGAGAGGAAGGUCCCCCACAUUGGAACUGAGACACAGUCCAAACUCCUACGGAAGGCAGCAG